RNAcentral lists this long non-coding RNA (2041 nucleotides) under Homo sapiens (human). RNAcentral describes it as "HSALNT0063976". Lineage: Eukaryota; Metazoa; Chordata; Mammalia; Primates; Hominidae. The record is from RNAcentral.
CUUCUCUCCCCUCUUCCCUCCGCUCCUGCUGUGCGGGAACUGGAGAAUCGUUAGGACGUGGAGGAAGCAGAGAAGUGGAUCAGAGAACAGGAGGGCUGGGAAGAGUCCUGGUUUCUCAAUCCUGACUGAGCAUCUGAAUCACCUGAGAAGCUACUAAAAUGCAGAUUCCCCGACCCCAUCCCCUUAGAGUCAGAGUCUGUGCAUUUAGGGUGCGGCCUUUCUCAGAGGGAUCGACUGAGACCUACUGAACCCUAGAAGUCUUUACCUGAGGCAGUUCCUGCAAUGUACUGUAUAUUUCAUGACAUUCCAUGUAAAAGAUGACAAGACCGAGACCGUUGAGUGACAGAGAUAAGAACUGACUUAUCUAAGGCUCCACAGGUGGUAGAUGGCAGAGCCGAGACCUGAGCCAAUUAUCUUUUCUCCUGCACUGUGCGGGGUAAUACAGCUCGUUUAAAACAAGCUGGAGUCUCCAUUCCGUUUUCCGCGUUGCUUCUCACAACUCACUGUUAGAAUCCAGAAGUAAGAGAACCCGGGGAAGCGUAAGGAAGAUGAAUAGGACAAAGAUUCUAAGAAGGUGGGAAGGAAGAAGGCUGCAGUCUAUUUCAAGUCUGGUGAAUUUCAAUCACUGUAGCCUUUAUUGUUAUUUUAGAGCCACCUAGACCAAAAGAGAAGGAGCUCAAAUUGCUGGAGGGGAUUUAGUGGCAGGAGGACAAAGUCAGAAGAGAAAUUUUUCACAGUAUAUCUUCUUGAGCCAUGUGACCAUAUGCUCUAAUUUUUUUAACUAUAAAAUUUAAAUUAAAAAAACCACAAAAAUUCGACGCAAGAGCAGCAGCCACAGUGGCUGAAGAUGAGAGGACUCCUGUGCCAGCCAAGGUGGAAGCAGAAAUUACUCCCCAGUCUCCACUGACUACAGGAACAGGAGGGCCACACACCCAUUUGGUGGCCAUAACAUUGAAAGCUGGGACAGCAGGACUGGUCUGGACCUGAGGCGUAAAAGACAACACUUGCAGCCAGCCCUGGUACUUGCAUAGUGGCAAAAUGUCCCAAGCUGGAGGAAAUGGAUAAGAAUUGGGUACACAUCACCCGUACUGGGAAUAAACAAAUGUGUUCUGAUUAUUUGGAAAAAGCAGACAUUCUAGGGGUAGGGAGUUCUAAAGCCUUGGUGCACUUGAAUGGAUAAACUUCCCAGGAGCAGAGUUUUCCAAGCAUGGCUCCCUGUGGUUCACCUCUACCAAGCUUAACCUACCUUCUGCUUAGGCAGAGCGAAGAGGCACCUCAGCAUAACUCAGAUCAAAAUGGAAGCAUCUCAUUUCUUAAAAGCUGUCAAAGAAUUGGUGUGAGGUUUAAAAACGUCUCUGAGCUUGAUGGAAGGAAGGUAGGCGGUGAUAGUUCAUGCUCCCUUUCCUCCAGACACUUCUCAUUUUCCUUUCUUAACCUGCUUUGAUAUUAUGAUUUCUUUUGCUUCAUUUGUUAAGUUCUCUUACAACACUUCUUGUUCACAAGUGAGUGAAGAGCUGUUCUCUGCUUGUAACGUUGGAAAUGGGGGAGUGUUUCAGAAAUGACACAACAAAGCAUUAAGCCAUGAAACAAGAAGGGGAACUUCAGACAGAAUUACAACAGUCAUUUGAGAAUCUCACUGAGAGCUAAUAAAAGCCACACACACACAGAGGAGUGUUUUCCAGUUAUUUUUUUGUCGUACUUUGUUGAGUUUCCUGCUUUCGGUUUUCCUAACUUAGCCACAGAAAGUGUAGGCAUGAAAAACAUAUUGGCUGGAUUACCUAUAAGACUUCGCUUUUUAGAAAACAAGCAAACAAACUCAGAUUUUGUCAUACUAGCACCUAAGGCAUAGUUCUUGCUUUUUUUCAUUCUUACACACACACUCACACACACCACAAACACACACAUACACAUACACGCACACACGUAUGUUUGUGUUUGGAUAGAUAGAGAUAUAUGUCAUAGACCAUUAACUGCUAGGGAUCUUAUAGGUCAUAAGUUGAUGUCUUCAUCUCACAGAUUAGAAAAUGGAGGAUUAAACAAG